AGACAAGUUUUUUUACUGUGCUCUCAUGAUAAAGGCAACAUGCCUCUAUUUUGGACAGGUAGUUUAUUUAUUUUAAAUUUUUUUGUCAUUUUCUCCCUGAAAACAAAUGAUACACAUUAGCAGACAUCCAUUAUAUAAUAGUGCUAAACAGUGUGUAAUUUGUAGGUCUCUCUGUAAUAAGUAAGUUAAGGUAAAAGGUUACUAAGUUAAAAGCACACAAAGAACUGUUAUUAAACACUUUCACUCAGAAAAUGUAUGAAACUUUGUAAUUAGAGGGAUUCCUCAUUGAAAAACAUAAAAUCGGUUUAAAUGGUCCCACAGAGUAUUGGUGAAAAAAGACAAUGUUUUCCUUUAAAAAUGUAAGAUAUGUUUACAGAAACAUGCAUCUCUAUCUGUAUGGUAUUCAGCUGUAGUGAUAGCUGAUGCAUUUGCCCAUAUAAGAGAUUUUCUGGAGUAUGACAAGUUUAAUGAUUCUAUGAGUCUCACUUGUGAAACAGGCAUUAUAGUACAUGAGAGUGUUUAAUGGUUCAUAAUGCUCACAUGGCCUCAUUUUGAGACAGGGGUAACUGCAGCCUGGAGCAAUGGGCGUGCCGAAAGGUAGGGGCGUGCCAAAAGGUAGGGGCGUGCCAAAAGGUUUCUCAUUGGUCAAAUGUUAAGACAGCUUGUUACAAUACAAUCAUAAUAGAGCUGAUAGUUUAUAUCUGCGUCCUUUUUGUGCAAUACAGUACAGAAUACAUCCUGUAAGAAUAAUAAUUAUUACCACCUUUGCUAUUACAACUGAACUAAGAUCAAUUCACAAUCUAUGAAGACGAUUAGACAAAAUAAAAAAUAAAAACUAAUUUAGAGUUUGUUUCUACCUUUCUGCUAGGUGUCCAACUAAUGCAGAGUAUUCAAGUUGCCAACACACUGGUUGUGAAGUACCCUUUCAAGAGAAAUAUAAAAGGAAAUGACUGUAAGUUGCAUUGUUUUUAAUCCAUUGGUUUAUCUCUAUCAACAUAAUCACACACGAUAUUGUAGUAACAAUAUAUUG
Molecule: long non-coding RNA, 1030 nt
Organism: Cyprinus carpio carpio
Lineage: Eukaryota; Metazoa; Chordata; Actinopteri; Cypriniformes; Cyprinidae
Source: Ensembl